This is a non-coding RNA of Brachypodium distachyon (stiff brome), 74 nucleotides long. The record is from Rfam. NCBI's taxonomy places the organism in Eukaryota, Viridiplantae, Streptophyta, Magnoliopsida, Poales, Poaceae.
AAAAGCCGUAUUCGAUGAAAGUUGUAUGUAUGGCUUGGAGGGAGAUCUUUCCUAUCUUUCGAGAUCAACCCUAC